UGUGAAGUUAGCUGAUUUAUGUCAAGAGUUUGCCCAUUAUGUAGAAAUAGUGUAUGAUUUUCAACGCUAUCAAUCACCGAAGAACUACGAAGCGAAGUCAUACCAACAAUUAAAAUCACACAAUAAGAAUGUAAACGGAAAAUUCAAAACAAACAAAUUAAUCAAAUCAUUUUUGUUAUCUUAACAAUUGUUAUUUAAUUUUCAACAUUUCCCAUUAAUUGAAACACAACAGUUGGUUGGAUUUUUUAGUAACGCCCGGUGUAUACUUCCGACAAAAUAUUAUGUAUACGCCAGCCAGUAAACAGUUUUACGAUGAUCGUAAAACAACAACGCGAGAUGCACUGCACACGGCAAGGUAUAUAAUAAAAGUGUUUUCUCUGUACGAUUGCUAAGGAACUCAUCAAUCAUUCGGGCUAAUUAAGAGUGUACCACACUACCACGCAACGGCAAGUCACGCCCAGCACG
This is a long non-coding RNA of Aphis gossypii (cotton aphid), 465 nucleotides long. RefSeq lists it as uncharacterized. Lineage: Eukaryota; Metazoa; Arthropoda; Insecta; Hemiptera; Aphididae. The record is from RefSeq and is a predicted model, not a curated record. The transcript has 4 exons.